GAAAAACAUCUCUUUUUGUUUAUAUAUAAAGUAUGACCUGCCCACUGAUUUAUUUGAAGGGCCGCGGUAACCUGACCGUGCAAAGGUAGCAUAAUCAUUAGUUUCUUAAUUAGAGGCUGGAAUGAAUGGUUGGACGAAAUAUGAGCUAUCUCAUUAUUUUUAUUAGAAUUUAAUUAUUAAGUAAAAAAGCUUAAAUAUUGUUAUGGGACGAGAAGACCCUAUAGAGUUUAAUAUUGUAAUUUUUAGAUUAGUUUUGUUUCGCAAUAUUAAUUAUAAUUUUUUGUUGGGGUGACAGGAAGAUAUAAAUAACUCUUUUUAUUGAUAAAUAUUAAUUUAUAGAAUUUUGAUCCAUUUAUAAUGAUUAUAAGACUAAAUUACCUUAGGGAUAACAGCGUAAA
RNAcentral lists this ribosomal RNA (398 nucleotides) under Blattella germanica (German cockroach). RNAcentral's name for it is "partial large subunit ribosomal RNA". The record is from RNAcentral. Lineage: Eukaryota; Metazoa; Arthropoda; Insecta; Blattodea; Blattellidae.